This 1596-nucleotide long non-coding RNA is filed under the name Sus scrofa (pig). Its description in RNAcentral is "lncRNA (ENSSSCG00000045852.2)". Lineage: Eukaryota; Metazoa; Chordata; Mammalia; Artiodactyla; Suidae. The record is from RNAcentral.
AGAGGCAUGUGGGUAUCAGCAACUGCUUAGAGAAGCUGGCCAAGGCCAGCCGAUGAGGGAGGGACCAGAUUCCCUGCAAGAUGAGAUGCAUUUGAAACAACUGACAAGAAACGGUAUGAGCAAUGGAAACACUGCUACCUGUUUCCAACUCAGCUGAAGUGAAUCAACUCAAAAUGCAGGAGGCAGAAAAAGGAUUUUCCUGGGAUAGAUCUUUCUUUUAAGCUUCAGCUGCACCACUUACACAUCUGUUUCCAGCCCUUGGAUCUUCUGUGAGGCAGAGAUGGCUUCCAAGUCAUGGAGAAUAACUGUUACCCCCCAUCCAACUUUCUGGAGCCUUUUGAUUGAUGCCUGGCUGAUGGACUCAAUCGCCUGCAAGUUUCCCAUAUGCUUCAUCUGAAUCCAAAAACAAGUUGAAGAAAAUAUGCAACAUUGGGAGAUUUUAACAGAAAAAUGGUAAGCCACUACUCCUUGUGGAACUAUGGUCUGUGAAGCUGCAAUUGGUGAGGAGGGGAAAGCCAGCUUUUCCUUAAGUUAUAGGCAAUAUUCCGAGCCAUGUCCUUGGGCUAUUUUGCAGAUGAUGAAACCCCACAAGGUGGAAGAACUUAACUACUUGCCAACCACAUACAUAGACCCUCCCCCGCAAGCUGGUUGGAACCAGGUUGAUGAUAUUGACUCCUGAUUACCUCACCACCAACCAAUCAGAAGAAUGUCCACGUGCUGAUCAUAUACCACAACCCUCUGCCUCAACCGGUCUUUAAAAACCUUUCCCUGAAAGCUAUUAGGGAGUUCAGGCCUUUUUGAGCAUUAGGCCUUUCACCAAACUUGUAGUUUGCUUCACCACAACCUGUUGUCUGCAGAUUGGCUUUAUUUGCCUUGAGUUUGGUAAUAAAUUUUUUUUUUUUUUGAAAGUGUUGCAAAUACAUUCUCCCUAUGUAUGACUUGAUUUUGUUACUUUGUGGUAUUUCUUGAUAUGCAGAAGUUUUAAGUUUUUAUAAAGUCAAGUUUAUAUUUUCCUUUAGGUUUUAUGCUUUUUUUUCAGGGGGGUACAAUUAUUAUGAAAUCCUUCUCUGGCUUGGAGAUAUAAAGACAUUCUAUUAUAUUUUCUUGUAAACAACUUAAAUUUUUAUUUUUCACACUUUGAUCAUUACUCAUCCAUGAAUUUUUUUUAGGAUAUAGAUUGGGAAUAUAGUUUUAUUUUCUACCUAAAUAGCCAAUUAUUCUACCACCAUUUAUUGGAUAAUCUAUCUUCAUCUUAUCCCCACUAAUUUGCAGUGUGUCCAUUUUCCUAUAAACACAGGUCUGGUUUUAGGUCUUGCUAUCCUAUUCCAUUGACCUAUUUGUCUAUUCACCUGCAUGAAGGUCAUCUCUUACUUGCCAUAGCUUUAAAUAAAUUUUGAUAUUUGAUAGGGUCAAACUACCAUUUUGUUUUUCAAAAUUUCUUAAGUAUCUUGUCCUUUUUCUUCCAUAUAAAUUUUGAGAUGAAUUUUUUAAGUUUCAUGUAAAUUUCUGUUAGAUUGUGUUUGAAAUUGGGUUGGUAUAUUAGGGAAGACAAUAUCUGUUAUUGAACGCUUUCAUCAAUAAACUUGGUAUAUCACU